CCUACGGGAGGCAGCAGUGAGGAAUAUUGGUCAAUGGCCGUAAGGCUGAACCAGCCAAGCAGCGUGAGGGAAGACUGCCCUAUGGGUUGUAAACCUCUUUUAUGCGGGGACAAAGGUUUCCACGCGUGGAUGUUUGCAGGUACCGCAUGAAUAAGGACCGGCUAAAUCCGUGCCAGCAGCCGCGGUAAUACGGAAGGUCCGGGCGUUAUCCGGAUUUAUUGGGUUUAAAGGGAGCGUAGGCCGGUCUUUAAGCGGGCCGUGAAAUGUUGGGGCUCAACCAUGAGCGUGCGGCGCAAACUGGAGACCUUGAGUGCGCGGAAGGCAGGCGGAAUGCGUGGUGGAGCGGUGAAAUGCUUAGAUAUCGCGAAGAACCCCGAUUGCGAAGGCAGCCUGCCGCAGCGUUACUGACGCUGAAGCUCGAAAGCGCGGGUAUCGAACAGGAUUAGAUACCCCGGUAGUC
Molecule: ribosomal RNA, 460 nt
Filed under: uncultured bacterium
Lineage: Bacteria
Description: partial 16S ribosomal RNA
Rfam family: Bacterial small subunit ribosomal RNA
Source: RNAcentral